Molecule: ribosomal RNA, 325 nt
Filed under: uncultured Anaerolineaceae bacterium
Lineage: Bacteria; Bacillati; Chloroflexota; Anaerolineae; Anaerolineales; Anaerolineaceae
Description: bacterial SSU rRNA
Rfam family: Bacterial small subunit ribosomal RNA
Source: RNAcentral
AUGGCUGUCGUCAGCUCGUGUCGUGAGAUGUUCGGUUAAGUCCGCUAACGAGCGCAACCCUCGCUGUGUGUUACAAGUGUCACACGGAACUGCCGGUCAUAAACCGGAGGAAGGUGGGGAUGACGCCAAGUCAGCAUGGCCUUUAUAUCCUGGGCUACACACACGCUACAAUGGGAAGGGACAAUAGGUUGCGAAGCCGCGAGGCGGAGCCAAUCCAGCAAAACUUCCCUCAGUUCAGAUUGCAGGCUGCAACUCGCCUGCAUGAAGUUGGAGUUGCUAGUAAACGCAGGUCAGCCAUACUGCGUUGAAUACGUUCCCGGGGCUC